RNAcentral lists this signal recognition particle RNA (298 nucleotides) under Aotus nancymaae (Ma's night monkey). Its description in RNAcentral is "Metazoan signal recognition particle RNA (ENSANAG00000004919.1)". It matches the Rfam family "Metazoan signal recognition particle RNA". Rfam says of the family: The signal recognition particle (SRP) is a universally conserved ribonucleoprotein. It is involved in the co-translational targeting of proteins to membranes. The eukaryotic SRP consists of a 300-nucleotide 7S RNA and six proteins: SRPs 72, 68, 54, 19, 14, and 9. Lineage: Eukaryota; Metazoa; Chordata; Mammalia; Primates; Aotidae. The record is from RNAcentral.
GCCAGGUGCGGUGGUGUGUGCCUGUAGUCGCAGCUAUUGGGAGACUGAGGCUGGAGGAUCUCUUGAGUCCCGGAGUUCUGGGCUAUAGUGCGCUAUGCCGAUCGGGUAUCCGCACUAAGUUUGGCAUCAAUAUGGUGACCUUCUGGGAGUGGGGGACCACCAGAUUGCCUAAGGAGGGGUGAACCGGCCCAGGUCGGAAAUGGAGCAGGUCAAAACUCCUAUGCUGAUCAGUAGUGGGAUCACGCCUGUGAAUAGCCACUGCACUCCAGCCUGGGAAACGUAGCGAGACCCCAUCUCU